RNAcentral lists this ribosomal RNA (531 nucleotides) under uncultured bacterium. Its description in RNAcentral is "bacterial SSU rRNA". It matches the Rfam family "Bacterial small subunit ribosomal RNA", at positions 777 to 1304 of the family's 1533-position model. The record is from RNAcentral.
AAUAGAUACCCCGGUAGUCCACGCCGUAAACGGUGGGUACUAGGUGUGGGUUUCCUUCCUUGGGAUCCGUGCCGUAGCUAACGUAUUAAGUACCCCGCCUGGGGAGUACGGCCGCAAGGCUAAAACUCAAAGGAAUUGACGGGGGGCCCGCACAAGCGGCGGAGCAUGUGGAUUAAUUCGAUGCAACGCGAAGAACCUUACCUGGGUUUGACAUGCACAGGACGCCGGGCAGAGAUGUCGGUUCCCUUGUGGCCUGUGUGCAGGUGGUGCAUGGCUGUCGUCAGCUCGUGUCGUGAGAUGUUGGGUUAAGUCCCGCAACGAGCGCAACCCUUGUCUCAUGUUGCCAGCACGUUAUGGUGGGGACUCGUGAGAGACUGCCGGGGUCAACUCGGAGGAAGGUGGGGAUGACGUCAAGUCAUCAUGCCCUUUAUGUCCAGGGCUUCACACAUGCUACAAUGGCCGGUACAAAGGGCUGCGAUGCCGUGAGGUGGAGCGAAUCCUUUCAAAGCCGGUCUCAGUUCGGAUCGGGGU